This 464-nucleotide ribosomal RNA is filed under the name Vreelandella stevensii. RNAcentral describes it as "partial 16S ribosomal RNA". It matches the Rfam family "Bacterial small subunit ribosomal RNA", at positions 339 to 795 of the family's 1533-position model. The record is from RNAcentral. Lineage: Bacteria; Pseudomonadati; Pseudomonadota; Gammaproteobacteria; Oceanospirillales; Halomonadaceae.
CUACGGGGGGCAGCAGUGGGGAAUAUUGGACAAUGGGCGAAAGCCUGAUCCAGCCAUGCCGCGUGUGUGAAGAAGGCCUUCGGGUUGUAAAGCACUUUCAGUGGGGAAGAAAGCCUUGGGGCUAAUACCCUCGAGGAAGGACAUCACCCACAGAAGAAGCACCGGCUAACUCCGUGCCAGCAGCCGCGGUAAUACGGAGGGUGCGAGCGUUAAUCGGAAUUACUGGGCGUAAAGCGCGCGUAGGCGGUCUGAUAAGCCGGUUGUGAAAGCCCCGGGCUCAACCUGGGAACGGCAUCCGGAACUGGCAGGCUAGAGUGCAGGAGAGGAAGGUAGAAUUCCCGGUGUAGCGGUGAAAUGCGUAGAGAUCGGGAGGAAUACCAGUGGCGAAGGCGGCCUUCUGGACUGACACUGACGCUGAGGUGCGAAAGCGUGGGUAGCAAACAGGAUUAGAUACCCCAGUAGUC